RNAcentral lists this ribosomal RNA (450 nucleotides) under uncultured bacterium. Its description in RNAcentral is "partial 16S ribosomal RNA". It matches the Rfam family "Bacterial small subunit ribosomal RNA", at positions 354 to 796 of the family's 1533-position model. The record is from RNAcentral.
GUGGGGAAUAUUGGACAAUGGGCGAAAGCCUGAUCCAGCCAUGCCGCGUGUGUGAAGAAGGUCUUCGGAUUGUAAAGCACUUUAAGUUGGGAGGAAGGGCAGUAAGUUAAUACCUUGCUGUUUUGACGUUACCGACAGAAUAAGCACCGGCUAACUUCGUGCCAGCAGCCGCGGUAAUACGAAGGGUGCAAGCGUUAAUCGGAAUUACUGGGCGUAAAGCGCGCGUAGGUGGUUUUGUAAGUUGGAGGUGAAAUCCCCGGGCUCAACCUGGGAACUGCCUCCAAAACUGCAUGACUAGAGUACGGUAGAGGGUAGUGGAAUUUCCUGUGUAGCUGUGAAAUGCGUAGAUAUAGGAAGGAACACCAGUGGCGAAGGCGACUACCUGGACUGAUACUGACACUGAGGUGCGAAAGCGUGGGGAGCAAACAGGAUUAGAUACCCUAGUAGUCC